This 490-nucleotide ribosomal RNA is filed under the name uncultured bacterium. Its description in RNAcentral is "bacterial SSU rRNA". It matches the Rfam family "Bacterial small subunit ribosomal RNA", at positions 10 to 507 of the family's 1533-position model. The record is from RNAcentral.
AGUUUGAUCAGUGGCUCAGGACACGCUGGCGGCGUGCUUAACACAUGCAAGUCGAGCGGAAAGGCUCCUUCGGGGGUACUCGAGCGGCGAACGGGUGAGUAACACGUGAGUAAUCUGCCCUUGGCUUUGGGAUAACUACCGGAAACGGUGGCUAAUACCGGAUACGACCACUCCUUGCAUGAGGUGGUGGUGGAAAGUUUUUCGGCCAGGGAUGUGCUCGCGGCCUAUCAGCUUGUUGGUGGGGUAAUGGCCUACCAAGGCUUCGACGGGUAGCCGGCCUGAGAGGGUGACCGGCCACACUGGGACUGAGACACGGCCCAGACUCCUACGGGAGGCAGCAGUGGGGAAUAUUGGACAAUGGGCGGAAGCCUGAUCCAGCAACGCCGCGUGAGGGAUGACGGCCUUCGGGUUGUAAACCUCUUUCAGUACCGACGAAGCGCCGAUGAUGGUGGUGACGGUAGGUACAGAAGAAGCACCGGCCAACUACGUG